Molecule: ribosomal RNA, 256 nt
Filed under: uncultured bacterium
Lineage: Bacteria
Description: partial 16S ribosomal RNA
Rfam family: Bacterial small subunit ribosomal RNA
Source: RNAcentral
AACGCGUAGGUAACCUGCCUUGUANCGGGGGAGUAACUAUUGGAAACGAUAGCUAAUAACCGCAUAACAAAUGGAUGACACAUGUCAUUUAUUUUGUAAAAGGGGGCGAAUUGCUCCACUACAAGAUGGACCUGCGUUGUAUUAGCUAGUAGGUGAGGUAACGGCUCACCUAGGCGACGAUACAUAGCCGACCUGAGAGGGUGAUCGGCCACACUGGGACUGAGACACGGCCCAGACUCCUACGGGAGGCAGCAUG